Megalobrama amblycephala (Wuchang bream) is the source of this 1290-nucleotide long non-coding RNA. RefSeq lists it as uncharacterized. NCBI's taxonomy places the organism in Eukaryota, Metazoa, Chordata, Actinopteri, Cypriniformes, Xenocyprididae. The transcript is spliced from 2 exons. The record is from RefSeq and is a predicted model, not a curated record.
UUCAAAACCAAUCUCCUUUUCUAAUAUGAGACAGAAUGUCCAAUGACACUAUAGUCCAAAGUAUUUAUAUAUUAGUUACCAACAUUCUUCAAAAUAUAUUUGUUACGAGCAGGGCGGGCGAGAGCUGUGAGGGAACGGCGCGAGGCCGGUGACGCGAGUGUUAACGAUCUUCACCUGCGAGUUGCACCGGCCUUGAGUCUCUCACGGAGGAGCUCCGGAAGCAUAAAAGGAGGAGCGACGACAGUGAAGGACGAGAGAGGACCAGGCCUGGACUUUAUUUUAUGUUUUAUUAUGUUUGUGUGGCCGGCAGACGUCCGCGAUGGUCUGCCGGCAUUACUUUCAUUUUGUCUUUGUUUAUCUUGUUGCAUGACCGCAAGGGAUGUGAUGAUUUCCGCAAACGGCAUACCGUAGGAUGCUUGCAUAGCGGCGGCUUCCGUCUUCCUUCCCGGGUUUCGGCACCAAUGUAACGUAGUUCGUUCCAGAGCUCCAAAUCUGGAAAGAUCUACCUCCAUCGGGACAUCCGGCUCCUUUUCUCCCGUAAAUCCAUGGAAGUGGACAAUGGUGCUGCCUAUGAGCUCAAGUCAUUCACAGAGUCACCUGCUGACCCCCCCUUUCUCUCCCAGAUGCUAAUUUAAUCUAGUCUAGUCUAUUGAUCUUAAUCCAGCAUAGGGGCCUUACUAUACUAAAUCAAAAUCUGUCAUCUUCUAAUAUGGGAAUUAAAAAUACAGAAGCCCACUAAUGCACACUCACUUGCACAGAAGGACUGUUCACAUUAAUGCCCCUUUCCUAAAAAUACACACCAAUGAAUCGUCAGUGCUUUGGUUUAAAACAACAGAUGGUUGGGAGUUCAUUUAGGUUUAUUACCAGAUGUUUGGAAUGGGGUGAGCAGAAAUGAUGCAGAAAAAAUAAAUCCAUGGACCAAUUUUUUUUUUUUUUUUUAAACAAAAGUCAAGUAACUGAAUUGCUGCAAGGAUGUUUGAAGAGCACUGUGUUUUUUCACCACAACUGGAAGAAAAUGAGUUUUGUUCAAUUACUUCUUUCUUUGUACUGUUACCAACCAGGUAAAUUGUUGCAAUAGAAAAACAAAUAUCUUACUAGCUUAGUGUUUACAUAUUUACUUUUUUUUGUCAUCAGUUAUUUAAUAUUUAAAUUGAACUUUCAUUUACUGCACAUGUGAUGCCUGUUGUGCAAAACAUUAUGAUGUAGUGCAAGAUGUUUCAAUCAUACCAUGUAUUUUUGUCUUUCAAAUUCAGAUCUUAAAUAAAAGAAUUAUAUAUUGUAUCUAUAAAA